AUAGCAGUGAGGAAUAUUGGUCAAUAGCCUAACGGCUGAACCAGCAACUUGGACGAACGAAAGGCGCAAGCCAUACGUAAUAAUAUUAUAUUAUGCGAUAGUAACAACGUUACAUAAAGUUCUAGAUAAAUAUUUGAUAAUGACAUUAUUUAUCUAUAAGUCUUGACUAAGUCACGUGCCAGCAGUCGCGGUAACACGUGGAAGACGAGUGUUAUUCAUCUUUAUUUGGUUUAAAGGGUACCUAGACAGCUAAUUAAGCCUACAAAAGUGACUAAUUAAGCUAGAGUUUUAUAAGAUAAGAUAGUAGAGCGGUGAGAGGAGAGAUGAAAUUUUUUGAUACCACUGGAGACUGACAACGGCGAAAGCAAUCUUUUAUGUAAUAACUGACGUUGAGGGACGAAGGCUCAAUAUAAGCAAAAGGAUUAGAUACCCUAGUACUACGAGCAGACAAUUAUGAGUGUCAUAGAUAAAUAAAUUAAUAUGAAAUACCUAUUAUAUAUUAUUUAUGUAUAAAUGAAAAUGUAAGCACUCCACCUUAAGAGUAACAUGGCAACAUGGGAACUGAAAUCAUUAGACCGUUUCUGAAACCAGUAGUGAAGUAUGUUGUUUAAUUUGAUAAUCCACAAAAAACCUUACCACAAUUUGAAUAAAUUUUUUAUUUAAAAAUUUACAGGAGUUGCACGGCUGUCUUCAGUUGAUAUCGUGAGAUUUUGGUUAGUUCCAUUUAAUCAACGCAAACCCUUAUUUUAUUUUCUAUAUAAAAUAGCUCUACCAUUAUACUGGUAAUGAUAAAAGGGACUAAGACAAGUCAUCAUGACCUAAAUAUUGUGGGC
This 833-nucleotide ribosomal RNA is filed under the name Dioxycanus fuscus. RNAcentral describes it as "SSU rRNA". It matches the Rfam family "Bacterial small subunit ribosomal RNA", at positions 348 to 1214 of the family's 1533-position model. The record is from RNAcentral. Lineage: Eukaryota; Metazoa; Arthropoda; Insecta; Lepidoptera; Hepialidae.